This 590-nucleotide ribosomal RNA is filed under the name Enterobacter ludwigii. Its description in RNAcentral is "bacterial SSU rRNA". It matches the Rfam family "Bacterial small subunit ribosomal RNA", at positions 751 to 1340 of the family's 1533-position model. The record is from RNAcentral. Lineage: Bacteria; Pseudomonadati; Pseudomonadota; Gammaproteobacteria; Enterobacterales; Enterobacteriaceae.
GGUGGAAAGCGUGGGGAGCAAACAGGAUUAGAUACCCCUGGUAGUCCACGCCGUAAACGAUGUCGACUUGGAGGUUGUGCCCUUGAGGCGUGGCUUCCGGAGCUAACGCGUUAAGUCGACCGCCUGGGGAGUACGGCCGCAAGGUUAAAACUCAAAUGAAUUGACGGGGGCCCGCACAAGCGGUGGAGCAUGUGGUUUAAUUCGAUGCAACGCGAAGAACCUUACCUACUCUUGACAUCCAGAGAACUUAGCAGAGAUGCUUUGGUGCCUUCGGGAACUCUGAGACAGGUGCUGCAUGGCUGUCGUCAGCUCGUGUUGUGAAAUGUUGGGUUAAGUCCCGCAACGAGCGCAACCCUUAUCCUUUGUUGCCAGCGGUUAGGCCGGGAACUCAAAGGAGACUGCCAGUGAUAAACUGGAGGAAGGUGGGGAUGACGUCAAGUCAUCAUGGCCCUUACGAGUAGGGCUACACACGUGCUACAAUGGCGCAUACAAAGAGAAGCGACCUCGCGAGAGCAAGCGGACCUCAUAAAGUGCGUCGUAGUCCGGAUUGGAGUCUGCAACUCGACUCCAUGAAGUCGGAAUCGCUAGUA